UGGAAGUAAAAAAUCGUAACAAGGUUUCCGUAGGUGAACCUGCGGAAGGAUCAUUAACAUUAAUUUACUACACACUGUUUUUUUACAACAAAACAAAUCUAUCUAAAAACAAUUCUUUACAAGAAAUUCUUAAAACUUUCAACAACGGAUCUCUUGGUUCUCGCAUCGAUGAAGAACGCAGCGAAAUGCGAUACGUAAUACGAAUCGCAGCUCUCGGAAUCAUCGAAUCUUUGAACGCACAUUGCACCAUUGGGUAUUCCCAAUGGUAUGCUUGUUUGAGCGAAUACUUCCCUAAUCCUCACGGAUUGUAUUGUGUUUGCACGAAAAUAAUGACGACAGUACUCUACAAAACGGUACCGUCAGUACACUCAUUUUUUUUCCUCAAAUCAAGUAGGACUACCCGCUGAACUUAAGCAUAUCAAAAGGCGGGAGGAAA
Molecule: ribosomal RNA, 436 nt
Filed under: Kodamaea ohmeri
Lineage: Eukaryota; Fungi; Ascomycota; Pichiomycetes; Serinales; Debaryomycetaceae
Description: eukaryotic LSU rRNA
Rfam family: 5.8S ribosomal RNA (bases 134-285)
Source: RNAcentral